GGGCACGCGUCCGCGCAGGCUCGUCCGGUCUCGUGAGAGCCAAAUGUCCCAGAAUUCAUUGCACCUCAGCAACGACGGAGGAAAAUAAACAUUAUAUGUUAUAAAUUCCGGAUUUACGUCACGGAAUGUGAUUUUCUCCGUGGAUGUGGGAGGUUUACGGUCUGCUUACCGGGACCGGCUGACUCCUCCAGCACCGGGAAGACCGAUGUUGUCCACCGGAGACGUUCCGUCUGUUUGAGGACGGACUUUACAUUCAGAACGUCAUGAUUAAAUGUAGCCGUAACGUCGUGUCCGUGUCCACAGAGCGCAGCUUGUGCAUUAAAACUAUGAUGUCCUUUUAAUCAAGGGACACGAGGACCGUCAGCGAGACUCUAAACCGGCAGCAAACGCACCGCGGGGUCGGCGGUUCGAACCCCAGCUGCUCCGUGUCUCAUGUCAAAGUGUCCCUGAGGAAAAUGUAAAAUGUUAAAACCAAGAGUUAAAAAAGACAACGUAAGUCGCUUUAGCGUCUUCAGUCCUUCAUCAGACAAGACGACAACACAAAGUGUCCCAUGAGAGUUUUAGUGUUGAGGUGGAUGAGCUCUGUGUGUUUGUCCUGAUGAAGAUAAAGAACAUGUGAGUUCUCCCAGCAGGUUGGUGUGAAGGUGUGAAGCUGUGGACUCUGCUAUGAAUCAGGCUGAGGACCCAGAGGACGGAGUCCGUCCCUCUGAAGCUCCUCUGUGUGGGGAACAUGACAGCCAGACCACAGCUCAGAGGACCCAUCAGAGACCUGGACCUGAUCCUGAACCCAGCUGUGUGUCCAUGAAGAGUAACCGGUUUAUGGAGACUCCUUAAAACUUCAAAGAUGUUCGUCCCUCUGUAGAUGCGAGAUGAUGAUCUCAGGCUGAUGAUGAGGUGUUUCUCAGGAAUCAGGAAACAUUAAUCACCAUAAUCUGUGAGAUACACAAGGAAUGUGACUUGGCGGUUGGUGCGUAACAGCAGACAGUACGACAAUGGAUGACAAGACAACAGUGCAGGAGGAAUAAAAUAAAAUAUAAGGCUAUGGGUUAGUUUAAAAAUAAAGGAAUAACAGUUCGUUAAAGCUAUUUCAAAAUUAAAAAGAAAGUGCACCAGCAAACAGAAAGUGACAAGUGAAAGUGACAUGUGCACCUCCUGCCAGAUGGAAGGGGCACUAACAGGUUUUGUCCGGGGUGAGAGGGGUCGGCUACCAUCUUUUUAGCUGCUUCAGAGACCUGGAAGCGAACAAGUCCUGCAGGGACGGCAGAUUGCAGCCGAUCAGCCUCUCUGCAGAGCGGAGGACACGCUGCAGCCUGCCCUUGUCCUUGGCUGUGGCUGCAGCGUACCAGACGCUGACGGAGGAGCAGAGGAUGGACUCCAUGAUGGCCGUGUAGAAGUGGACCAUCGUCGUCUUUGGCAGGUUGAAUUUCUUCAGCUGCCUCAGGAAGAACAACCUCUGCUGAGCCUUCUUGGUGAUGGAGCUCGAGGUCCUGGGUGAUGAUGGCGCCCAGGAAACGGGAGGAAUCCACGGUGGUGUAAAAGCGACUUACGUCGCAUUUUUAACCCACUGCUUUUUACAUUUUGCUCAGGGACACUUCGACAUGGGACGGGGUUUUAUAUGUUGUAAAUGUGUAAAACCCACUUUACUAAUAAAAUAACUUUUUGAUGAGUUUUAAGUCGUUUUGUUGUGCAGUUCUGAUCGUGACCACGGGGUGUCGCCCUUUACUUUCUCAUCGUCAGUGACUGAAACACCUUUACCAUCAC
Long non-coding RNA from Gasterosteus aculeatus aculeatus (three-spined stickleback), 1761 nucleotides. NCBI's taxonomy places the organism in Eukaryota, Metazoa, Chordata, Actinopteri, Perciformes, Gasterosteidae. The record is from Ensembl.